GGGAACGUACCUUUUGGUUCGGAACAACUGAGGGAAACUUCAGCUAAUACCGGAUAAGCCCUUACGGGGAAAGAUUUAUCGCCGAAAGAUCGGCCCGCGUCUGAUUAGCUAGUUGGUGAGGUAAUGGCUCACCAAGGCGACGAUCAGUAGCUGGUCUGAGAGGAUGAUCAGCCACAUUGGGACUGAGACACGGCCCAAACUCCUACGGGAGGCAGCAGUGGGGAAUAUUGGACAAUGGGCGCAAGCCUGAUCCAGCCAUGCCGCGUGAGUGAUGAAGGCCCUAGGGUUGUAAAGCUCUUUUGUGCGGGAAGAUAAUGACGGUACCGCAAGAAUAAGCCCCGGCUAACUUCGUGCCAGCAGCCGCGGUAAUACGAAGGGGGCUAGCGUUGCUCGGAAUCACUGGGCGUAAAGGGUGCGUAGGCGGGUCUUUAAGUCAGGGGUGAAAUCCUGGAGCUCAACUCCAGAACUGCCUUUGAUACUGAAGAUCUUGAGUUCGGGAGAGGUGAGUGGAACUGCGAGU
Molecule: ribosomal RNA, 520 nt
Filed under: uncultured bacterium
Lineage: Bacteria
Description: bacterial SSU rRNA
Rfam family: Bacterial small subunit ribosomal RNA
Source: RNAcentral